GUACUUCCCAGAGCAUCCCUAACCUUCCCCCUCAUCCCCCGCCCCACGCCGUGCUCUCUCUGUCUCCCCCCGCCCUCUGCGCCAGGGCUGGCCUUCCUAGUCCUCUAGGCCUCCCCGGGAAUGAGCCCCAGUCCAGCAGCCUCCCCAGGUUGGUGUAAAUGCCACCCGGGCUGGGUAGGGCGGGGCUUGAGCUCCCCAUCACUCUUCUCCCUUCUCCUCCUCUUCUCCUUCUCCUCCCUCCCCCCCCCCUUCCCCGGCCUACCUCCGCUCGCUAUUUUUAGCCCACCCACCCCAGCUGGCCGCCACUCUCUUGGUCUGUCUGUCUGUCUGUCCGUCGGUCCGUCAGUCUCUCCUGAGCUGCUGCACGCCAGGGCAGGAGUCCUUGGCUGCCGCGAUCCAUCCCUCCUCCUCCUCCUCCUCCUCCUCUUCUUCCUCCUCCUCCUCCUCCUCCUCCUCCUCUCCCCCACCCCCGCCCCUCCCUCUUCGGAGCUGGAGCCGCCCUCCCUCCAGCACUAGCUUCCCGCGGCUCCCGGCAGAGGCGCCCGGCGGCGGCGGCGAUAGAAGCAGCGGCAGCGGCAGCGGCUCGCAGCCCUGGCUGCCUCGCUCCUUCUCUUGCUCUCGGGCUGCCUCCCCGGUUCAGCGAGACGCGCAGUGAAGCCCAGGCCGGGUUCCAGCCGGGGUUCCAAUCCCAGGCCGGCGGGGCUCCACCCCCAGAGACGGGGAAUGCCCGGGAGCCGCCUAGGCAACUUUCGGCACCCCCUCCCGCCCCGCCGCGGGCUUACUCCCUAGCGCCCCGGGAGGAGGGCAGCGGGGACAAGGAGAAGUUUGGGUCACCGCCCCCCCGGCCCCCGAGGACGAGGAGCUGACGCUGCAGUCUCUGGGAAAGAUAUCAUCAUCUCUGCCUACUCAUCAUAACCAAGACGUCACCAACGUAGCUGGGGCCGCAGGAUCCUGCCUUGGUUGGGUCACAGCGUCUUCUCCUGGUUGUCCACUAUGAGCUCCCCAGCACAGCCAGGGAAGCUUUCUUGCCAAGGACAGCGACCUUUGACUUGCUUGCCCAGGCUGGAGCCCAGGUGAACCAUCUGCCUGCUGCUCUAUUGCCUUUAGCUUCAGGAAAGCCGAUUGGGAACACCUUCUUCAGCCCAUCACCUUGUACUGGAGGCUGUAUUUUUAGCCCUUAAGCAUAGUCCGUGCUCUGUAUUUAGACAUCUGGCUCGAAAACUCGAAUUUGCUCAGUGAGCAGAAGAAGCGCUCCCAGAAGAACAUUCCAAGGUUACAGAUAGUGUCCCCGGUGAAACGCUUUCUUCUUUCUUUCUGCUCUCUAUCGAAUAUCACAUAAAUAACAGCCACUGACUGGCUCGCCAAACUAGGACUCGGAAUUGCGGAGAACUUGGCUGAGGCAAGAAGGUAUGAUUACACGUGGAAGGGCGUUCUGGCAGCCUAUUGUUUGCAGGAAGCGGAAACGGAUCCCUUUUAUUUCUGUCUUAAGCGAACUGCACAUCUUCAAAUCUUUCAGUCCUUGUAGCCAAACAGCCCGGACAAAGGAAAAUAAAACAAACCGGACCAAAAAGAGAGUCGAGCAAGCUCACUUUUUAAUAUUUGAAAAUACUAUUUAUUGAAUUCAGAAAAAACAACAAUAAAGACAUGACAUUUCAUAGAAUUUAUCACCUGCCUUUUUUGGGGGGUGGGAAGUCAUUUGACCUUUUAUAGCCUCAGUCUUCUCAUCUAUAAAAUGGGGAUAAUAAUAGCACCUACCUUAUGGGGUUGAUAUGGGGAUUAAGUGAGAUACAAGAUGUUACGUGCAAUGCAAACUUACAUAUAAGCAUAUAAAUGGUAGGUGGCAUAGAGGCUAGAAGUUCUGGGUCUGAAGUUAGGAAGACUCAUCUUCCCGAGUUCAACUAUGGCUUCAUACGCUAGCGGAAUGACUCUGGGCAAGUCACUUAACCGUGUUGGCAUCAGUUUCCUCACAUGUAAAAUGAACUAGAGAAGGAAGUGGCAAACCACUCCAGUAUCUUUCCCAAGAAAACCCCAAAUGGGGUCCUAGGCAUAAGGAGCGGACAAUCCAAGCCUUUGUUUAUAAAAAGUUGUUUCAUUUGCAAAAGGUAAUGUUUGUUCAUUUUACAGGCCAUUUUUAGGAAGAUCAAUUUACCAUCUGAUCAGAAGAGUGGGGAGAGACCCGAAGCUGAGGGAUCCAUCAGAAGGCUCUUGCAAUAGUCUAGGAAUAAGAUGAGAGAUGAUAGUGGGGCGGUGGGAUUGGUUGGAGAAGAUGGAAUGGAAUGGGGUCACGGGUGAACUUAGAGAGGUUUGCCAGGGAGAAAAACUCCCUUUUCCUAUAAAACAGGGCUAGAGGAGGUAGCAGCAGAAGGCACCUGAAUUUUCAAGAUGAAAAGGUUGAAGGAAAGAUUUAAUUAAUAGUGCCAAUUCCAUGCAACAAACAUUGAUGAUUUAUUGACUGAUAUUUAAAGAAACAUUGUACUGGGCGCUAGGGAUCCCAAGACAGAAAAUGAGAAUAGUGCCUGCCUCAAGGAGUUGACAUUCUACUGAAGGGGUAUUCCAGGUAGGUGAGUUCCAUUCAUUUGACAAUUUAUGUAUCUGAUGAUGAGACUUUGAAAUAUUAUCUAUCAAAUGUAAUUAAAAAGAGAGGAUUUGAUUUCUUUUAAAUGUUGCAGUCAUAUAUUUGUGGAAAUUUUUUAAAAAUUAAAAAGAGAAAAUCUGAUUGGUAUUUGAGGCUUCCACUUCUGUUGUUCAUUUUCUACAGUUAACUCUAUUGAAAGUCAAAGAGAUUGGAUUAUAUGUAUAUAUAUGUAUAUGUACAUAUAUAUACACACAUACAUACAUACAAACAUAUGUAUGUGUAUUUGUAUCUCUAGUUACAAUUUGCAUGUAUGUACAUAUAUGUAAUAUUUGUGUGUAUAUGUGUGUAGAUAGGUAGACACAUAGAUAAAUAGAUAGACAAAUAGACAUAUAGAUAGAUAGAUAGAAAGAAAGAUGGAUAGAUGGAUGGUGUAACAGUUAAAAUGUAGGGGAGACUGAGGCAGGCAGAAAUUAGUUUCUCUCUGCAAGGAGUAUUAUAUUUUUUAGAGGUUUAUUAAGGAUUCAAGAAUAUACAAGUAAGAAAAAACACAUGCCUAGGCCAGAGGCCUAGACAAGACCUCACCUACAUUAUGGAAAGAGCCACGUCUGCUCCAAAACGGAAGUCCAAAAAGAGAGAGUUGCUCAAAAGCCUUUGCAAUCAGCUUAAGUACCUUCUCGAUCUCACCCACCUCAGAAUUCCGUGAGAUUACAAAGCAUUUUGGGGAAGUGGAGCAAGGACUUGUGGGGAUUGAAGUCCAGAGUUCAAAUCUCAAUUUUACAUUUCACCAUUUGAUCCUCUGGGAAGAAGUCCUUCCCCAAAGGAUCAUAAAAACAUAAUCAAUUUAAAGAUUACAAUAAUUUGAGGAUAAGAAAAAAAACAAAACCAAUAAUUGCUGAACACAUUGACAAAAAGCCAGUUUAGGGGGCAGUCCCCUUUGGCAUGAAAGUAUACAUACAAAUAAAUGUUCAAUCAACUACACCCAAAAUUCAAUUUGGAUUUUUUUGUGCAGCUUGUCAUCUGGAGGCAUCUUCAUGGUGUCUUCUCCAACAGUUGAGUUUCUGGGUUCAGAGAGGUAGCAUCUUCUUUACCUAAAAUUCUUCUCAAAAGGAAUUUAAACUUUGCAAUUUAAAUAAUGAUUUUUUUUACAUUCCCCCAUUAAGAGGGUGAUUAAAAAAAAAGGAUCACUUAGGGAUGCAUGGCUGAGGUAUGAGGUAUAUGAAUCAAUUGGCAAGAGAUAUUAAAGACAUCAGAAAAAUCCAAAUAAAAAAGAAAAAUCUCUGGAUGAAAAUAUUGACAAUCAAAGUCUUAUGUGAAAAAAUUCCAAGUAAAAAGAAAAAUAAAUCUAUGACAGGUCCUUGAAUCAGGGCCCAAUCAAAAUGAUCUAAGCAAUGAUGCAUUUACCCAGUCAGUAGCCAGGACUACAGAAAGUUGCCACACUAUGAGAGGCAGAAAAGAAAGGGACCAGAGGAUAGAAGCCAAGUAGGAGCCAAGGUUUUGGGGAUACUCGUCUGUGAGUAUCUUCAGAGUGAGUGUGGACACAAGGAAAGCCUAUGUAUUAACACAUGUUAAACACAGUAACCUUGAGUCUUCACACUAGGUUCAAGACCUUUGUAUUGGCCUAGAAGUGCAUCAAUCCAUCCUGGAUUGGCUUUUCUUUGGCUCUGAGCAAUGGCUCUUGUGUGUACAUCUUGUCCUGGAAUGAGACAGAAUCAUUAAGCAAAGUCCCAUAAUUUAUUUAAAUAAUUAGAGGAAUCAUUUUUAUAGUCACAUGUUUUUUAGGGCAUGCAUUAGCAAAUGUAUCUUAAACUUGUAGUAUUGAAAAAUCAAAAGGUUAAAUAAAAUCUUAAUACUGGUGACAUGUGCUUGAAAUAUAAAAAGGAGAGAAAAAUAAUAAAAAUAUACUGAAAAGUAUAUUGCACACUCAAGAAAAAUAUAAUAAUAAAAGCUUUAAACAUUCAAAAUUAUAGCUUAUAAUCAUUGACACUCUGUGUCAGCUAAGAAAAUAUAAAAUUCAAGGCUUUCUCACCAAAAAUGAGAUCCAUUUCCUCUUAAUAUCUGGCCAUGAUCACUGUGAGUAGAAGGCAAAUGAAUUGAACAAGGUUAACAAUUUUUCAUUUUUAAAAAUACAGUAGUACAAAUAUGUAGAUAUCAAUAUCCCCAAAAUUCUCAAUAGCCCAAUUAAUUACAAUAGCAAACAAACACACUUUCACAUUUCACAUAAGUUGUAUGACAUUUAAAAGCCUAUGAAUUGAUGGAUAUUUGUCACAAUUUUUACAAAUGUAGCAAUCUUUCAACCUUCGUAUUCAAACAUUUUUUUAAAACAAAGUAAAACUCAUCUUGGGUUAAGAACAUAAUCAAGAAAUCUAUAUAUCAUUCUGGUAGAAGUAAAAUAGUGAGCUGAAGAGUAUAAAUAAAGCGGUGCUCCUUUUUCUUGGAGGCUUAUAGGGAUACAAAUGCCCUGAGAUUAACUGCCCAACUUCCAUUCACAUGUGGAAAGGUUGGGGUUUAUAAAAUGUAUUUCACUUCAGCUACUAGAAUGGGCCUUACCUCGUGGUAGGGGCAGGCAAAAUAA
Monodelphis domestica (gray short-tailed opossum) is the source of this 5147-nucleotide non-coding RNA. Lineage: Eukaryota; Metazoa; Chordata; Mammalia; Didelphimorphia; Didelphidae. The record is from RefSeq and is a predicted model, not a curated record.